Molecule: long non-coding RNA, 278 nt
Filed under: Zostera marina
Lineage: Eukaryota; Viridiplantae; Streptophyta; Magnoliopsida; Alismatales; Zosteraceae
Description: long non-coding RNA (ZMAR_LNC004214)
Source: RNAcentral
UGUAUUCGAAAUAUCUAAGUCUGAAUUCAAUACCUUACGAUAUCCUCUAGUAAUAAGUCUAACACAUGAGCAGCACAUGGGGUCCAAAACAUGUGCGGAUAUUUUUCCAUCAACAAACGUCCAGCCAUGACAUAGUUUGAUGCAUUAUCCGUGCACACCUGGACGAUCUUAGUACUACCAAUUUUUUCAAUUACAUCUUCCAAUCCUUUGGCUAUGAAGUCUCCUGUCUUCGUGUCGGAGGUGCAAUCAUCGGAUUGAAUGUAAAAACAUCCCUCCUC